CCUACGGGUGGCUGCAGUGGGGAAUAUUGGGCAAUGGGCGCAAGCCUGACCCAGCAACGCCGCGUGAAGGAAGAAGGCUUUCGGGUUGUAAACUUCUUUUGUCAGGGACGAAGCAAGUGACGGUACCGGCCGAAUAAGCCACGGCUAACUACGGGCAAGCAGCCGCGGUAAUACGUAGGUGGCAAGCGUUCACCGGAUUUAUUGGGUGUAAAGGGCGUGUAGGCGGGAAUGCAAGUCAGAGGGGAAAACUAUGGGCUCAACCCAUAGCCUGCAUUUGAAACUGUAUUUCUUGAGUGCUGGGGAGGCAAUCGGAAUUCCGUGUGUAGCGGUGAAAUGCGUAGAUAUACGGAGGAACACCAGUGGCGAAGGCGGAUUGCUGGACAGUAACUGACGCUGAGGCGCGAAAGCGUGGGGAGCAAACAGGAUUAGAUACCCGUGUAGUC
RNAcentral lists this ribosomal RNA (443 nucleotides) under uncultured bacterium. RNAcentral describes it as "partial 16S ribosomal RNA". It matches the Rfam family "Bacterial small subunit ribosomal RNA", at positions 338 to 795 of the family's 1533-position model. The record is from RNAcentral.